AGAACGAACGCUGGCGGCAGGCUUAACACAUGCAAGUCGAACGGUUGUAGCAAUACAGCAGUGGCAGACGGGUGAGUAACACGUGGGAACCUUCCUAGGGGUACGGAACAACUCAGGGAAACUUGAGCUAAUACCGUAUACGUCCGUAAGGAGAAAGAUUCAUCGCCCCUAGACGGGCCCGCGUAGGAUUAGGUAGUUGGUGAGGUAACGGCUCACCAAGCCUACGAUCCUUAGCUGAUCUGAGAGGAUGAUCAGCCACACUGGGACUGAGACACGGCCCAGACUCCUACGGGAGGCAGCAGUGGGGAAUCUUGGACAAUGGGCGCAAGCCUGAUCCAGCCAUGCCGCGUGAGUGGAAGGAGGCCGUUCGGGUUGUAAAGGUCUACGUUUUACCCGAGGGUACGAUAAGUGACGGUACCGUGGAGAAUAACGCCCCGGACAAACUCGUGCCAGCAGCCGC
This 460-nucleotide ribosomal RNA is filed under the name uncultured soil bacterium. RNAcentral's name for it is "bacterial SSU rRNA". It matches the Rfam family "Bacterial small subunit ribosomal RNA", at positions 26 to 518 of the family's 1533-position model. The record is from RNAcentral.